RNAcentral lists this long non-coding RNA (1363 nucleotides) under Physcomitrium patens. RNAcentral describes it as "long non-coding RNA (PPAT_LNC010432)". The record is from RNAcentral. Lineage: Eukaryota; Viridiplantae; Streptophyta; Bryopsida; Funariales; Funariaceae.
UCUUAUUUUAUCUUCAAGCCAAUAGAUAGACUAGAAAGAUUAAUGGUAUUCUAAACAAAGUUUUAACUAUGACCAUGUUUGAUGCAAGAUUAGAUUGAGAUACAAAAUUAUUUGCAGCUUUAUGGGCAUAUUGUACUACAUAUAAAGUCACUACCAAUUCUACACUAUUCCAAUUAGUAUAUGGGUAAGAUGUAAUAUUACCAAUUGAAUUAGAAGUUCAAAGUUUAAAAAUUGCAUUUGAUGAAUGUUGUUGUAAUACAUGAAGUCUUGCUUAAGAAUGCUCCAGGCACCUAGUUGGGGAAGGAAGAAUGGAAAUUGCAACAACAGAAUCCUAAUUCUAAUAGAAUACUAACAAUGCUCUAAUUAGACCAUAAUAAUACUAAACAAGCUUAAUCAAAUUCAAAAAAAUCUCAAAAAAAAUUUAAACCAAUAAUAAGAAUUCUUAAAGAAAUAUUAGAAUGAUCACAAAUAUCACUGAAAUAUAUAUCAAUUCAAUCUUAAUUUAAUACUAGUCAAAAUCCUAUUGAACUUCAUUCAAACUUUAGGCCAAAACUAAUUAAAUCUUAAACCCUAAUAAAAUCCUAAACCCUAAACUAAAUCCUAAAAAAACUUUAAAUCAAACCCCAACCAAAUUCUAAACCAAACGAUAAAUCCUAAAUCAAACCCUACACAAACCUUAAUCAAAUCCUAAACCUUAAACCAAUCCCUAACCAAAUCCUAAAACAAACCCUAAACCCUAAACCAAAUCCUAACCAAAUCCUAAACCAAACCGUAAACCCUAACCAAACCCUAAUCCAAACCCUAAAUCCUAAACCAAAUCCUAAUUAAAUCCUAAAUCAAACCCUAACUAAAUCCUAACCAAAUUCUAAUAAUUCCUACAACAAAUUUAAACCUCAAUAACUAAUAAAUAAAACCAUUGAUCUUAACUCAAAUUUUGUACAUUUCUUAAAAACUAAGUUGAAAACAAUCACAAGAAUUUUGGAAAGGAUCGAAAUAACCAAAUAGACGAUAACCUCAAAAACGUGCUUGGGUAUUGGUCGGCCUCCUUCUCCAAUCUUGAUGCCAAUCUUCCAAAGCCAAUAUCUCUUUUAUGCAUCAUUCGAUUGAUUUCAAAAUUCUCAUACACAUAGAAAAACAAGUCUAAUAUCUUCUCACAUAAGUUUCACUCCAAUCCAACAAGUAGAUUGCAAGAAAUCUUUAAAACCCUCACUAGACCUAAAAUACUACUUUUUGAGACCUUGACCCACUUAAACCUCAAUAUUUCUUAAUUCAUCUAUUAGAUCAAGCUCAAAUUCACAACACAUAUUAAACACAACUAUAGACAUAUACCUACAAAAUUUCAUCCAUAGAUCUAUAACAAAAC